GAGGAGGAGGAGGAGGAGGAGGAGGAGGGGGAAGUUUAUGGCCGAAAGGGCGGGGGGAGGCUGCCGGCAGGGCGCUGGGAUUGAUGUGUCUGGGUCGGGGGAGGGAGCGGCCGCACGAAAGUCGGUCGGCCCCGGUGUCAGCUCGGGACAGGCCGCCUGGUGCGCCCCGGAGGGUCAACCUCACUUUGGCUGGCUUGUCUUCUUGAUUUCUUCAUUGGUGGUGCUAAAGAGAGUUGAUGAGACAGGAAGAAAGCAGCAGGGAUUGCUGAGUCUGAACAUCACUUCUGCUAAGCUUGGAGCAGCACUGAAGCUAUUUUAAACAAGAAAGGCAGUAAUCAAGCAAAGCAAAAGCUGGGCAGAAUUAGGCCAUGCAGUCUGAGACAGUGGUUCCAAAUGCAGCAGUUGGUGUGAGCAGAAGAAAUAAGUAAGAUAACAAGCUGUGAGCAUGGUUUACAAGUAUGCAGAGAGACAAGACCCUUUGGGCCUUAUGACUCACUGGACGGGGAGGCUUGGGCAUGCUGAACAACGAAAGUGGCUGUUAGGGUGUGAUUUUUACUUUGUGUAUUUAUGUACUUUGCAAAUGAUGUUGCACAAAAUAUGACCACAGUAAACACCUGUUCAC
RNAcentral lists this long non-coding RNA (622 nucleotides) under Anser brachyrhynchus (Pink-footed goose). RNAcentral's name for it is "lncRNA (ENSABRG00000011162.1)". Lineage: Eukaryota; Metazoa; Chordata; Aves; Anseriformes; Anatidae. The record is from RNAcentral.